Molecule: ribosomal RNA, 253 nt
Filed under: uncultured bacterium
Lineage: Bacteria
Description: partial 16S ribosomal RNA
Rfam family: Bacterial small subunit ribosomal RNA
Source: RNAcentral
UACGGAGGGUGCAAGCGUUAUCCGGAUUCACUGGGUUUAAAGGGUGCGUAGGCGGGCAGGUAAGUCAGUGGUGAAAUCUCCGAGCUUAACUCGGAAACUGCCGUUGAUACUACUUGUCUUGAAUAUUGUGGAGGUAAGCGGAAUAUGUCAUGUAGCGGUGAAAUGCUUAGAUAUGACAUAGAACACCAAUUGCGAAGGCAGCUUACUACACAAUGAUUGACGCUGAGGCACGAAAGCGUGGGGAUCAAACAGG